UUGCGGGGUAGAGCAGCCUGGUAGCUCGCAAGGCUCAUAACCUUGAGGCCGCUGGUUCGAAUCCAGCCCCCGCUAA
RNAcentral lists this transfer RNA (76 nucleotides) under Blidingia minima. RNAcentral's name for it is "tRNA-Met". It matches the Rfam family "tRNA". Rfam says of the family: Transfer RNA (tRNA) molecules are approximately 80 nucleotides in length. Their secondary structure includes four short double-helical elements and three loops (D, anti-codon, and T loops). Further hydrogen bonds mediate the characteristic L-shaped molecular structure. tRNAs have two regions of fundamental functional importance: the anti-codon, which is responsible for specific mRNA codon recognition, and the 3' end, to which the tRNAs corresponding amino acid is attached (by aminoacyl-tRNA synthetases). tRNAs cope with the degeneracy of the genetic code in two manners: having more than one tRNA (with a specific anti-codon) for a particular amino acid; and 'wobble' base-pairing, i.e. permitting non-standard base-pairing at the 3rd anti-codon position. Lineage: Eukaryota; Viridiplantae; Chlorophyta; Ulvophyceae; Ulvales; Ulvaceae. The record is from RNAcentral.